Molecule: long non-coding RNA, 812 nt
Filed under: Capsella rubella
Lineage: Eukaryota; Viridiplantae; Streptophyta; Magnoliopsida; Brassicales; Brassicaceae
Description: long non-coding RNA (CRUB_LNC001288)
Source: RNAcentral
AAAUUUGCUAUAGGUGUGAAGAAGACAUGCAAAGCACAUGCAUGUAAACCCCCACCAUGAAGUAAGAAUUUUGAUUUGUUUUGAUUACUGUUUCUCCCAAAGAUGUACGUCUAAAUUGAGUCAACAAUGGUUUUUAAUAGGUUUGAGUCGAUGUCUGAAGCUACGACAAAAAUGAGCAUAUAGCCUUAGGAUUUUUUCGGAUCAAAGGAGGAACAUGUAUCAAAACUACAGAGGACGUCAAACAUGUAUGUACCUCUCAUCAAAUAUAAUUUUGUGUGUCAUAUUUUACAGUGAAAAUGAGAAUAACGUAACUUAUUCAAAUUGUUUUUCACUUUCCUGUUUAUAUUGUGAUCACUUUGGUUCUUUAUGAUCGAUCUUAUUACAUGUUUUUUUAUUCAGGACCAAACCAUUACGUAGUAGUGAAGAUAUAGAAUUGGGACCGAACCAUAAGUGUGCUUAAUUAUUAUUAGUAGUGGUAUCUAAUAACAUGACUCACUCAAAUGAGACAUGUGUGGAGAGAUUCUUAAUUUCUUAUGUUCGUGAUUCGUGAAGAUGUAUGAAUCACAUUGUCUCUCAGUCAUUUAUGUAUAAUGUAUAUAUUUAAUAUUUCUCUCAUAUUCCAUGUUUUCUUAUUGAUUAGGAUAAUGCUGAAGAGUGAAGACAGAUUGAAGAGUGGAAGCUGAACUAUGAAACUAAAGCCAUCAUUGUUGGAAAUUUCAUAGUUUUUACCGUGCAUUAGCACGGGUCUAAUACUAGUGUGAAAUAUUGCGAAAGGUGAGAAAAACCCUCAAAAUUCGACUUCUAUAUAUUUA